This 751-nucleotide ribosomal RNA is filed under the name uncultured bacterium. RNAcentral describes it as "bacterial SSU rRNA". It matches the Rfam family "Bacterial small subunit ribosomal RNA", at positions 72 to 810 of the family's 1533-position model. The record is from RNAcentral.
UAUGAGUUUUUGCUAUUCCUGGUCUUAGCGGCGAACGGGUGAGUAACGCGUGAAUAAUCUGCCCUUGAAAUCGGGAUACCAUUCCGAAAGGAAUGCUAAUACCGAAUAACGUUACGAAACGCAGGUUUCAUAACCAAAGUUGAAUCUUUGGAUUCUUCGUUCAAGGAUGAGUUCGCGUCCUAUUAGCUAGUUGGCGAGGUAACGGCUCACCAAGGCUGUGAUGGGUAGCCGGCCUGAGAGGGCGUACGGCCACAUUGGGACUGAGACACGGCCCAGACUCCUACGGGAGGCAGCAGUAGGGAAUCUUCCGCAAUGGGCGAAAGCCUGACGGAGCGAUGCCACGUGGAUGACGGAGGCCUUCGGGUCGUAAAAUCCUGUCAGGAGGGACGAUGGUCGAUUUUCGGAUUGAUUGACGGUACCUCCAGAGGAAGCUCCGGCCAACUACGUGCCAGCAGCCGCGGUAAUACGUAGGGAGCAAGCGUUGUUCGGAUUUACUGGGCGUAAAGAGUGCGUAGGUGGCUAUACAAGUCAAGGGUGAAAUCUCUACUUUCAAGGUAGAAACUGCCUUUGAUACUGUAUGGCUAGAGGGCAAGAGGGGGAAAUGGAACUCUGGGAGUAGCGGUGAAAUGCGUAGAUAUCCAGAGGAACGCCAGUAGCGAAGGCGGUUUCCUGGCUUGUUUCUGACACUGAGGCACUAAAGCUAGGGGAGCGAUCGGGAUUAGAGACCCCGGUAGUCCUAGCCCUAAACGAU